UGGCUCAGUGGUAGAGUGCUUGCCUUACAUGCAUGAAGUCCUGGGUUCGAUUCCUCAG
Molecule: transfer RNA, 58 nt
Filed under: Dipodomys ordii (Ord's kangaroo rat)
Lineage: Eukaryota; Metazoa; Chordata; Mammalia; Rodentia; Heteromyidae
Rfam family: tRNA
About the family: Transfer RNA (tRNA) molecules are approximately 80 nucleotides in length. Their secondary structure includes four short double-helical elements and three loops (D, anti-codon, and T loops). Further hydrogen bonds mediate the characteristic L-shaped molecular structure. tRNAs have two regions of fundamental functional importance: the anti-codon, which is responsible for specific mRNA codon recognition, and the 3' end, to which the tRNAs corresponding amino acid is attached (by aminoacyl-tRNA synthetases). tRNAs cope with the degeneracy of the genetic code in two manners: having more than one tRNA (with a specific anti-codon) for a particular amino acid; and 'wobble' base-pairing, i.e. permitting non-standard base-pairing at the 3rd anti-codon position.
Source: Rfam by way of RNAcentral